GAUGAACGCUGGCGGCGUGCCUAAUACAUGCAAGUCGAGCGAACAGACGAGGAGCUUGCUCCUCUGACGUUAGCGGCGGACGGGUGAGUAACACGUGGAUAACCUACCUAUAAGACUGGGAUAACUUCGGGAAACCGGAGCUAAUACCGGAUAAUAUAUUGAACCGCAUGGUUCAAUAGAGAAAGACGGUUUUGCUGUUACUUAUAGAUGGUUCCGGGCCGCAUUAGCUAGUUGGUAAGGUAACGGCUUACCAAGGCAACGAUGCGUAGCCGACCUGAGAGGGUGAUCGGCCACACUGGAACUGAGACACGGUCCAGACUCCUACGGGAGGCAGCAGUAGGGAAUCUUCCGCAAUGGGCGAAAGCCUGACGGAGCAACGCCGCGUGAGUGAUGAAGGUCUUCGGAUCGUAAAACUCUGUUAUUAGGGAAGAACAAAUGUGUAAGUAACUAUGCACGUCUUGACGGUACCUAAUCAGAAAGCCACGGCUAACUACGUG
This 497-nucleotide ribosomal RNA is filed under the name uncultured bacterium. RNAcentral's name for it is "partial 16S ribosomal RNA". It matches the Rfam family "Bacterial small subunit ribosomal RNA", at positions 28 to 507 of the family's 1533-position model. The record is from RNAcentral.